RNAcentral lists this ribosomal RNA (465 nucleotides) under uncultured bacterium. RNAcentral's name for it is "partial 16S ribosomal RNA". It matches the Rfam family "Bacterial small subunit ribosomal RNA", at positions 338 to 795 of the family's 1533-position model. The record is from RNAcentral.
CCUACGGGGGGCAGCAGUGGGGAAUAUUGCGCAAUGGGCGAAAGCCUGACGCAGCGACGCCGCGUGAGGGAUGAAGGUCUUCGGAUCGUAAACCUCUGUCAGCAGGGAAGAACGGUCACUGUGCUAAUCAGCAGUGAAUUGACGGUACCUGCAAAGGAAGCACCGGCUAACUCCGUGCCAGCAGCCGCGGUAAUACGGAGGGUGCGAGCGUUAAUCGGAAUUACUGGGCGUAAAGCGCUCGUAGGCGGUAUGUCAAGUCAAGGGUGAAAUCCCCGCGCUCAACGUGGGAACUGCCUUUGAAACUGGCAAACUGGAGUGUGUGAGAGGAUGGUGGAAUUCCAGGUGUAGGAGUGAAAUGCGUAGAUAUCUGGAGGAACAUCAGUGGCGAAGGCGACUAUCUGGCACAUAACUGACGCUGAGGAGCGAAAGCGUGGGUAGCAAACAGGAUUAGAUACCCUUGUAGUC